UGUCAGGUCUGAAGUUUCCCAAAGGGC
This 27-nucleotide non-coding RNA is filed under the name Mus musculus (house mouse). The record is from RNAcentral. Lineage: Eukaryota; Metazoa; Chordata; Mammalia; Rodentia; Muridae.